ACCAACCCUCUCUUGCUCUCGGUCUGCUUCCUCUGCUAGGGUUACUGUGCACAGGUGAGAAGUCAAAGAUGCUUAGUAGGUAGUAGUAUAUGUGUUGAGGUCAUAAGAACCAUGAAAAACUUGAGCUUGAUAAAAAAUAUAUAUAUAUAUAUAUAUAUUUUUAACUUUUGGACAUUUAAUUCAAUCCAACUGACUGUUCUUCUCUCAUCCAUUGCUUGUAUAUUUCUGAAUGGGGGGACCAUCUAUCUAAAAUUUUGAAUGAUGGCAGAAAAUUGUCCAUUUUGUCAUGUUUCCAGUAGCAAUUUAUACAACAACUCAAACAGUCAUCAACAGAGCAAUUUAUAGUAUUCAAUCUUUAGCGUACAACAAAAUCACUCCACAUUUUUUCAUUUGGCUUAGAAUCCUUCCAUUCUUAGUUGCACGUUCAACAAAGAAAACUGUUCCACCUUGGCUGUUCAAAUUGAGUCUAAGCAAUUUGAAUAACAUGUUACUGUAAUCAUAACCUACCAAUACAUGAUCCGAUUCAAUAACCUCACCCUCAAGGUCUUUCACCACAGGUAGAAUAACGCUGAUUCAUAAGCUGACAUUGAUAAUUGGCUUUCGUUCCUGAUCUUGACACCUUGAUCGAUUCCCAAAAUAUAGAAGUUAAUAAUCUAAGACAGUCAUGUCAGUAAGUGGAAGAUGCUCUGACUCAAGGCAUGGAGAAAUUGCAGUCGACUCUUGCUGAAACUGUUGCUGCAGGUCAACUGGUAGGAGGAGGUUACGUCCCAAAGGUACCUACUGCAACGGAGAAGUUGGAAGCUCUAGUCAGCUUUUCGAACCAGGUUGCUCGAGGCUUGCUUGCACUAGGAGAGUACUUCCAACGCCUUGAAGCUUUUAGUUCAAUUUGGGCCACCCAUCCUCAUGACACUGCCUAAUCUUAUAUCAGAAAAAAUCAACAAGCUCAAACUCUCUGGAAGAUCAUCACUGCUCAAACUUCAUUUCCUGAUUAGAGGUACCUCUGGACAUUGUUGUUAUAAACAUAAUUUGCAUACUUUAAAUUGCUGACAUUUUUGAAGCAGCCACAAGCAUCUAGGGAAAUUGUAAAUAUAGUCUUUUAACCGGGACGAAGUUUGUAAUUAAAUCAAUUUUUGAUGCAUGAUGUUCAUUUUUAUGAUCUUUUAAAACAUAUAUUUAGGGUUUAUGUUUUCGAGGUACCUUUGCAAUGUAGUCAUGUAAAUUUGUACAAGGCAACAGUCUUAUAAAUUAUUCAAUUAAAGUUAAUCUCAUCUAACCCUUGAUUAUUAUUACCAAUUUUGAAUGACAACUCUUGGAAAUGGUCGACUGUUAACUCUUGGAAAUGGUUGGCUGCGGACUCUAAUGCACUUUUAAAGAUCAAGGGGCAUUGAUGAAUAAUCCUAGAGAUGGCUUAGAUUCUAUCGCAUGGUUGCCGCAUCCAAUGGUCAGUUUUCUACGAAGUUGAUUUGGAAUGGGUUCAGGAGUAAGAAAAGAGAGGUUAAGUGGGCUGACCUUGUGUCACAAAAAACACAUUCCUAGACAAGCUAUUAUCCUCUGGUUGGCAAUUAAGCAGGGACUCAUGACUAGAGGCAAACUUGUCAAACUUGGACUCACAAAUAAUGCUAAAUGCGUGUUAUGUAAUCAUUAUGAUGAGGAUAUAAACCACAUUUUCUUCGGAUGUGAAUACAACAACUAUAUUUGGAAGACCAUUUUGAGGAAAAGUUUCUUGAGUUAUAAUGGGCAAAACUAGAACUCCUUUAUUGAUGAGAUUUCUUCGGAUUGGAAGGAGGUCAGUUAAAAUUCUUGAUGGGCAAGUUAAGCCUGGGCCUACUAGUUAUGCCAUUUGGAAGGAAAGAAACAACAGGAUUUUCUCUAAUCUUCUGCAGCCCAAAGAUAGAAUUGUGGAAAGGCUCAGAAGACUGGUAAGAUGCAGUUGAGGAGGUUCCAAUUCCUAGCAAUGGCUUUAUUGACAUUAGUAGGGGAAAAAUUUGAGAGGUCCCUCUUUCUGAUCUUUAGUCAAGUCCUAUUCUGUAGGCUUUGGUGCUGGUUGCAGUGGUCAAUAUUGAUAGCUUUUCCCCUCUCCAUUGCCUCAACUCUGCUGCUGGGAUUCUCUUCUGCUCUUUCCUGGUGGCUUUCGAAACCUGCCUUUUCGCUACUGUCUUCUGGAGCUUGAAUCUCCUGUUUCCUGGUGCUUGUGUUUGCUUCUAAAUUCUGAUCAGAAGCUUUUGCAUCAGUUUUCUGUGCUUCCCCUGUUUUUGCCAUUCAUUCCCCUGCUUCUCCUGCUGUUGUUCUCCUGGCCUCCCUUUUCCCCAGCUGUGGCUUGGUUUGGCGCCCUCAAAAAUUUCUCCUGGCCUGCUGCUUGGUUUCCUUGCAGUUGAGGCAUGCUUCUGGUCCUCAUGGACCUUCAGUCUUUGCUGGUCUGGUUGGCUUGAAUUCUUCCUGCAGGCUUUUCUUGCAUCUUCAAAUUUUUGCUCCUGGAUUGCUACAUCAUGAUAUGGUCCUCUGGUUUGGGCUUAAUUAUCCUCUGUUGAUGGGUUCUGGUCUGAAAUUCCUGAGCUGUAGUCCUAUGAGGAUCUUUGGAUACUGGUUUGUUGUAUGAUCAAGCAAGCUGAGUUUUGUCUCUCCGAGUAGAGCGUCAGAAUUCAUUGAGUUUGGAUUGUCUAUUGAUUUGGCCGGUGCUUCUGUCAUUUCCUGAUUUUGCUUUUGUCCAUUACGUCUGCUUCCUGGUGUUGGCACCUGCAUUUCCUCCUGAUGUGCUUUGUAGUGUUCUGCUUGCUGUGCUGGUUGUUCUCGGUUGUUGGCCUGGAGUGCUACAUUCGAGUUUGGAGCCAGUAGUCCGCUCUCUGCUGCUAUACCGUUUCUUUUGCAGGCUGAUACUGGUUUCUUGUCUGGUGCUGCUGGAGUCCGGAUAUGCAUCUGAACUCUCUGCCUCCUUGCUUGCUGCUGUGGUAGGGAUUUCUUUCCAGGUGUAAUGCAUUUCCCUGCUGCCCGAGGAUCUGCCUUGGCAUCUCUUUUGCUUGUUUCUGUGGCAGCUAUUUAUUUGUUGUCUUAGUUUGUGGAAGCUGUCCAAGUCAUUCGGCCUCAGCCUCAGCCUCAAUUUUCCAACAGUGUGGCUCCCGGGCCCUGGAUUAAUUUGUUGAGUUUAUGGGCUCCGUGAGUUUCUUUAGGAUGCAAUGUUUGUAUGCUAUAAUGUGUUGUAAUUCCUUAGCAUAUGUGUCAUGUUCUCUUUGUGUCUUGAUUGGACUCGUCUGUUUUGGCAGUGUAUUAUUGGCUAACCUCCUUGGGGAUGAGUUCAGGAUGUAUUGGGACUGUUUUUGCAAGAUUUUGUAAUAUAAAUAUUUACCUGUUUAAAAAAUAAAAUAAAAUUUUGAGUCA
This is a long non-coding RNA of Mangifera indica (mango), 3372 nucleotides long. RefSeq lists it as uncharacterized. The transcript is spliced from 2 exons. The record is from RefSeq and is a predicted model, not a curated record. NCBI's taxonomy places the organism in Eukaryota, Viridiplantae, Streptophyta, Magnoliopsida, Sapindales, Anacardiaceae.